GAUUCGUGUGUCUCUCUGAUGCAGUCGAGCGGAACGACAACAUUGACCCUUCGGGUGAUUUGUUGGGCGUCGAGCGGCGGACGGGUGAGUAAUGCCUGGGAAAUUGCCCUGAUGUGGGGGAUAACCAUUGGAAACGAUGGCUAAUACCGCAUAACGUCUACGGACCAAAGAGGGGGACCUUCGGGCCUCUCGCUUCAGGAUAUGCCCAGGUGGGAUUAGCUAGUUGGUGAGGUAAUGGCUCACCAAGGCGACGAUCCCUAGCUGGUCUGAGAGGAUGAUCAGCCACACUGGAACUGAGACACGGUCCAGACUCCUACGGGAGGCAGCAGUGGGGAAUAUUGCACAAUGGGCGCAAGCCUGAUGCAGCCAUGCCGCGUGUAUGAAGAAGGCCUUCGGGUUGUAAAGUACUUUCAGUCGUGAGGAAGGCGUUGAAGUUAAUAGCUUCAUCGUUUGACGUUAGCGACAGAAGAAGCACCGGCUAACUCCGUGCCAGCAGCCGCGGUAAUACGGAGGGUGCGAGCGUUAAUCGGAAUUACUGGGCGUAAAGCGCAUGCAGGUGGUUUGUUAAGUCAGAUGUGAAGCCCGGGGCUCAACCUCGGAACCGCAUUUGAAACUGGGCAGGCUAGAGUACUGUAGAGGGGGGGUAGAAUUUCAGGGUG
RNAcentral lists this ribosomal RNA (659 nucleotides) under Vibrio sp. MR06-80. RNAcentral's name for it is "bacterial SSU rRNA". It matches the Rfam family "Bacterial small subunit ribosomal RNA", at positions 39 to 677 of the family's 1533-position model. The record is from RNAcentral. Lineage: Bacteria; Pseudomonadati; Pseudomonadota; Gammaproteobacteria; Vibrionales; Vibrionaceae.